GAUGAACGCUAGCUACAGGCUUAACACAUGCAAGUCGAGGGGAAACGAUAGAGAAAGCUUGCUUUUUCUAGGCGUCGACCGGCGCACGGGUGAGUAACGCGUAUCCAACCUGCCCAUCACUUGGGGAUAACCUUGCGAAAGUAAGACUAAUACCCAAUGACGUCUCUAGAAGACAUCUGAAAGAGAUUAAAGAUUUAUCGGUGAUGGAUGGGGAUGCGUCUGAUUAGCUUGUUGGCGGGGUAACGGCCCACCAAGGCGACGAUCAGUAGGGGUUCUGAGAGGAAGGUCCCCCACAUUGGAACUGAGACACGGUCCAAACUCCUACGGGAGGCAGCAGUGAGGAAUAUUGGUCAAUGGGCGGAAGCCUGAACCAGCCAUGCCGCGUGAAGGACUAAGGCCCUACGGGUCGUAAACUUCUUUAGACGCAGAGCAAUAAGGUCCACGUGUGGACCGAUGAGAGUAUGCGUAGAAUAAGCAUCGGCUAACUCCGUGCCAGCAG
Molecule: ribosomal RNA, 499 nt
Filed under: uncultured bacterium
Lineage: Bacteria
Description: bacterial SSU rRNA
Rfam family: Bacterial small subunit ribosomal RNA
Source: RNAcentral